GGUUAAGCGACUAAGCGUACACGGUGGAUGCCCUGGCAGUCAGAGGCGAUGAAGGACGUGCUAAUCUGCGAUAAGCGUCGGUAAGGUGAUAUGAACCGUUAUAACCGGCGAUUUCCGAAUGGGGAAACCCAGUGUGAUUCGUCACACUAUCAUUACGUGAAUACAUAGCGUAAUGAAGCGAACCGGGGGAACUGAAACAUCUAAGUACCCCGAGGAAAAGAAAUCAACCGAGAUUCCCCCAGUAGCGGCGAGCGAACGGGGAGCAGCCCAGAGUCUGAAUCAGCUUGUGUGUUAGUGGAACGGUCUGGAAAGUCCGACGGUACAGGGUGAUAGUCCCGUACACCAAAAUGCACAGGUUGUGAACUCGAAGAGUAGGGCGGGACACGUGGUAUCCUGUCUGAAUAUGGGGGGACCAUCCUCCAAGGCUAAAUACUCCUGACUGACCGAUAGUGAACCAGUACCGUGAGGGAAAGGCGAAAAGAACCCCGGCGAGGGGAGUGAAAAAGAACCUGAAACCGUGUACGUACAAGCAGUGGGAGCCUCUUUAUGGGGUGACUGCGUACCUUUUGUAUAAUGGGUCAGCGACUUAUAUUCUGUAGCAAGGUUAACCGUAUAGGGGAGCCGAAGGGAAACCGAGUCUUAACUGGGCGUUAAGUUGCAGGGUAUAGACCCGAAACCCGGUGAUCUAGCCAUGGGCAGGUUGAAGGUUGGGUAACACUAACUGGAGGACCGAACCGACUAAUGUUGAAAAAUUAGCGGAUGACUUGUGGCUGGGGGUGAAAGGCCAAUCAAACCGGGAGAUAGCUGGUUCUCCCCGAAAGCUAUUUAGGUAGCGCCUCGUGAAUUCAUCUUCGGGGGUAGAGCACUGUUUCGGCUAGGGGGUCAUCCCGACUUACCAACCCGAUGCAAACUGCGAAUACCGAAGAAUGUUAUCACGGGAGACACACGGCGGGUGCUAACGUCCGUCGUGAAGAGGGAAACAACCCAGACCGCCAGCUAAGGUCCCAAAGUCAUGGUUAAGUGGGAAACGAUGUGGGAAGGCACAGACAGCCAGGAUGUUGGCUUAGAAGCAGCCAUCAUUUAAAGAAAGCGUAAUAGCUCACUGGUCGAGUCGGCCUGCGCGGAAGAUGUAACGGGGCUAAACCAUGCACCGAAGCUGCGGCAGCGACACUAUGUGUUGUUGGGUAGGGGAGCGUUCUGUAAGCCGUUGAAGGUGGCCUGUGAGGGUUGCUGGAGGUAUCAGAAGUGCGAAUGCUGACAUAAGUAACGAUAAUGCGGGUGAAAAACCCGCACGCCGGAAGACCAAGGGUUCCUGUCCAACGUUAAUCGGGGCAGGGUGAGUCGACCCCUAAGGCGAGGCCGAAAGGCGUAGUCGAUGGGAAACAGGUUAAUAUUCCUGUACUUGGUGUUACUGCGAAGGGGGGACGGAGAAGGCUAUGUUAGCCGGGCGACGGUUGUCCCGGUUUAAGCAUGUAGGCGGAGGUUCCAGGUAAAUCCGGUACCUUUUAACGCUGAGGUGUGAUGACGAGGCACUACGGUGCUGAAGUAACAAAUGCCCUGCUUCCAGGAAAAGCCUCUAAGCAUCAGGUAACACGAAAUCGUACCCCAAACCGACACAGGUGGUCAGGUAGAGAAUACCAAGGCGCUUGAGAGAACUCGGGUGAAGGAACUAGGCAAAAUGGUGCCGUAACUUCGGGAGAAGGCACGCUGAUAUGUAGGUGAAGCGGUUUACCCGUGGAGCUGAAAUCAGUCGAAGAUACCAGCUGGCUGCAACUGUUUAUUAAAAACACAGCACUGUGCAAACACGAAAGUGGACGUAUACGGUGUGACGCCUGCCCGGUGCCGGAAGGUUAAUUGAUGGGGUUAUCCGUAAGGAGAAGCUCUUGAUCGAAGCCCCGGUAAACGGCGGCCGUAACUAUAACGGUCCUAAGGUAGCGAAAUUCCUUGUCGGGUAAGUUCCGACCUGCACGAAUGGCGUAAUGAUGGCCAGGCUGUCUCCACCCGAGACUCAGUGAAAUUGAACUCGCUGUGAAGAUGCAGUGUACCCGCGGCAAGACGGAAAGACCCCGUGAACCUUUACUAUAGCUUGACACUGAACACUGGUCCUUGAUGUGUAGGAUAGGUGGGAGGCUUUGAAGUGUGGACGCCAGUCUGCAUGGAGCCAUCCUUGAAAUACCACCCUUUAAUGGCUGGUGUUCUAACGUGGACCCGUAAUCCGGGUUGCGGACAGUGUCUGGUGGGUAGUUUGACUGGGGCGGUCUCCUCCUAAAGAGUAACGGAGGAGCACGAAGGUUAGCUAAUCCUGGUCGGACAUCAGGAGGUUAGUGCAAAGGCAUAAGCUAGCUUGACUGCGAGAGUGACGGCUCGAGCAGGUGCGAAAGCAGGUCUUAGUGAUCCGGUGGUUCUGAAUGGAAGGGCCAUCGCUCAACGGAUAAAAGGUACUCCGGGGAUAACAGGCUGAUACCGCCCAAGAGUUCAUAUCGACGGCGGUGUUUGGCACCUCGAUGUCGGCUCAUCACAUCCUGGGGCUGAAGUAGGUCCCAAGGGUAUGGCUGUUCGCCAUUUAAAGUGGUACGCGAGCUGGGUUUAGAACGUCGUGAGACAGUUCGGUCCCUAUCUGCCGUGGGCGCUGGAGAAUUGAGGGGGGCUGCUCCUAGUACGAGAGGACCGGAGUGGACGCAUCACUGGUGUUCGGGUUGUCAUGCCAAUGGCAUUGCCCGGUAGCUAAAUGCGGAAGAGAUAAGUGCUGAAAGCAUCUAAGCACGAAACUUGCCCCGAGAUGAGUUCUCCCUGAGACUUUAAGUCUCCUGAAGGAACGUUGAAGACGACGACGUUGAUAGGUCGGGUGUGUAAGUGUAGCGAUACAUUGAGCUAACCGAUACUAAUGAACCGUGAGGCUUAACCUU
RNAcentral lists this ribosomal RNA (2906 nucleotides) under Citrobacter freundii. Its description in RNAcentral is "23S ribosomal RNA". It matches the Rfam family "Bacterial large subunit ribosomal RNA". The record is from RNAcentral. Lineage: Bacteria; Pseudomonadati; Pseudomonadota; Gammaproteobacteria; Enterobacterales; Enterobacteriaceae.